AUACUACUGCCUCCGUCCUAAAAUUCUUAUUUUAAAUUUCUUUAGAUAUGAAUGAAUCUAGUUACCUUUUAGUAUUAGAUACAUCCAUGUCUAGAUAAAUCUUAGACAAAAAUUUUGAAAUAGAGGUAGUAGUAU
Non-coding RNA from Hordeum vulgare subsp. vulgare (domesticated barley), 135 nucleotides. The record is from Rfam. NCBI's taxonomy places the organism in Eukaryota, Viridiplantae, Streptophyta, Magnoliopsida, Poales, Poaceae.